UACGUAGGGGGCAAGCGUUGUCCGGAUUUAUUGGGCGUAAAGCGCUCGCAGGCGGCUUGCUACGUCGUGCGUGAAACACCCCGGCUCAACUGGGGAGGGUCGUGCGAUACGGGCAGGCUGGAGGCCAGUAGGGGGAUGCGGAAUUCCGGGUGUAGUGGUGGAAUGCGUAGAGAUCCGGAGGAACACCAGCGGCGAAGGCGGCUCACUGGACCGGUAUUGACGCUGAGGUGCGAAAGCGUGGGGAGCAAACAGG
Molecule: ribosomal RNA, 253 nt
Filed under: uncultured bacterium
Lineage: Bacteria
Description: partial 16S ribosomal RNA
Rfam family: Bacterial small subunit ribosomal RNA
Source: RNAcentral